This 301-nucleotide ribosomal RNA is filed under the name uncultured bacterium. Its description in RNAcentral is "partial 16S ribosomal RNA". It matches the Rfam family "Bacterial small subunit ribosomal RNA", at positions 509 to 809 of the family's 1533-position model. The record is from RNAcentral.
CAGUCGCCACGGUAAUAUGUAGGUGGCAAGCGUUGUCCGGAAUUAUUGGGCGUAAAGGGCUCGCAGGCGGUUUCUUAAGUCUGAUGUGAAAGCCCCCGGCUCAACCGGGGAGGGCCAUUGGAAACUGGGAAACUUGAGUGCAGAAGAGGAGAGUGGAAUUCCACGUGUAGCGGUGAAAUGCGUAGAGAUGUGGAGGAACACCAGUGGCGAAGGCGACUCUCUGGUCUGUAACUGACGCUGAGAUACGAAAGCGUGGGUAGCAAACAGGAUUAGAGACCCCUGUAGUCCCUGUCUCUUAUAA